GGGCGAGUGCUGGAAUGGUAUACAGGUUAGUCUCAAAAACUAAUGAUCAUUACGGUCAUGAGGGUUCGAGUCCCUCCUCGCCCA
RNAcentral lists this transfer RNA (84 nucleotides) under Candidatus Levyibacteriota bacterium. RNAcentral describes it as "tRNA-Leu". It matches the Rfam family "tRNA". From Rfam's summary of the family: Transfer RNA (tRNA) molecules are approximately 80 nucleotides in length. Their secondary structure includes four short double-helical elements and three loops (D, anti-codon, and T loops). Lineage: Bacteria; Candidatus Levyibacteriota. The record is from RNAcentral.